GGAACUUGCUGACAGGUGAGNUGGUGCCGAAAGGGAGCCGUAACACAGGUGCUGCAUGGCUAGUCGUCAGCUCGUGUCGUGAGAUGUUGGGUUAAAGUCCCGCAACGAGCCGCAACCCUUGUUCCCUAGUUGCUACGCAAGAGCACUCUAGGGAGACUGCCGGUGACAAACCGGAGGAAGGUGGGGAUGACGUCAAGUCCUCAUGGCCCUUAUGGGUAGGGCUUCACACGUCAUACAAUGGUCGGAACAGAGGGUUGCCAAGCCGCGAGGUGGAGCCAAUCCCAGAAAACCGAUCGUAGUCCGGAUCGCAGUCUGCAACUCGACUGCGUGAAGCUGGAAUCGCUAGUAAUCGCGGAUCAGCAUGCCGCGGUGAAUACGUUCCCGGGU
Molecule: ribosomal RNA, 387 nt
Filed under: Paraburkholderia caribensis
Lineage: Bacteria; Pseudomonadati; Pseudomonadota; Betaproteobacteria; Burkholderiales; Burkholderiaceae
Description: bacterial SSU rRNA
Rfam family: Bacterial small subunit ribosomal RNA
Source: RNAcentral